UACGGGUGGCAGCAGUGGGGAAUAUUGCACAAUGGGCGAAAGCCUGAUGCAGCUAUGCCGCGUGUAUGAAGAAGGCCUUAGGGUUGUAAAGUACUUUCAUCGGGGAGGAAAAACAAAACUAAUAAUUUUAUUUCUUGACGUUACCCGAAAAAGAAGCACCGGCUAACUCCGUGCCAGCAGCCGCGGUAAUACGGAGGGUGCUAGCGUUAAUCAGAAUUACUGGGCGUAAAGAGCACGUAGGUGGUUUUUUUAAGUCAGAUGUGAAAUCCCUGGGCUUAACCUAGGAACUGCAUUUUGAAACUGAAAUACUAGAGUAUCGUAGAGGGAGGUAGAAUUCUAGGUGUAGCGGUGAAAUGCGUAGAUAUCUGGAGGAAUACCUGUGGCGAAAGCGGCCUCCUAAACGAAUACUGACACUGAGGUGCGAAAGCGUGGGGAGCAAACAGGGAUUAGAUACC
RNAcentral lists this ribosomal RNA (455 nucleotides) under uncultured bacterium. RNAcentral describes it as "bacterial SSU rRNA". It matches the Rfam family "Bacterial small subunit ribosomal RNA", at positions 340 to 786 of the family's 1533-position model. The record is from RNAcentral.